Molecule: ribosomal RNA, 397 nt
Filed under: uncultured bacterium
Lineage: Bacteria
Description: partial 16S ribosomal RNA
Rfam family: Bacterial small subunit ribosomal RNA
Source: RNAcentral
AUACGUAGGGGGCGAGCGUUGUCCGGAAUGAUUGGGCGUAAAGGGCGCGUAGGCGGCGCGGUAAGUCUGGAGUGAAAGUCCUGCUUUCAAGGUGGGAAUUGCUUUGGAUACUGCCGCGCUUGAGUGCAGGAGAGGUUAUCGGAAUUCCCGGUGUAGCGGUGAAAUGCGUAGAGAUCGGGAGGAACACCAGUGGCGAAGGCGGGUAACUGGACUGCAACUGACGCUGAGGCGCGAAAGUGUGGGGAGCAAACAGGAUUAGAUACCCUGGUAGUCCACACCGUAAACGAUGAAUGCUAGGUGUAGGAGGUAUCGACCCCUUCUGUGCCGCAGUAAACACAGUAAGCAUUCCGCCUGGGGAGUACGGUCGCAAGAUUAAAACUCAAAUGAAUUGACGGGG